Molecule: ribosomal RNA, 254 nt
Filed under: uncultured bacterium
Lineage: Bacteria
Description: partial 16S ribosomal RNA
Rfam family: Bacterial small subunit ribosomal RNA
Source: RNAcentral
UACGGGGGGAGCAAGCGUUGUUCGGAUUUACUGGGCGUAAAGGGCGCGUAGGCGGUCAGCACAAGUCAGUUGUGAAAUCUCCGGGCUUAACUCGGAAAGGUCAACUGAUACUGUGCGACUAGAGUGCAGAAGGGGCAACUGGAAUUCUCGGUGUAGCGGUGAAAUGCGUAGAUAUCGAGAGGACCACCUGCGGCGAAGGCGGGUUGCUGGGCUGACACUGACGCUGAUGCGCGAAAGCCAGGGGAGCGAACGUG